RNAcentral lists this ribosomal RNA (617 nucleotides) under Salmonella enterica subsp. enterica serovar Enteritidis. RNAcentral describes it as "bacterial LSU rRNA". It matches the Rfam family "Bacterial large subunit ribosomal RNA", at positions 1 to 649 of the family's 2925-position model. Lineage: Bacteria; Pseudomonadati; Pseudomonadota; Gammaproteobacteria; Enterobacterales; Enterobacteriaceae. The record is from RNAcentral.
GGGUUGUGAGGUUAAGCGACUAAGCGUACACGGUGGAUGCCCUGGCAGUCAGAGGCGAUGAAGGGCGUGCUAAUCUGCGAUAAGCGCCGGUAAGGUGAUAUGAACCGUUAUAACCGGCGAUACCCGAAUGGGGAAACCCAGUGUGACUCGUCACACUAUCAUUAACUGAAUCCAUAGGUUAAUGAGGCGAACCGGGGGAACUGAAACAUCUAAGUACCCCGAGGAAAAGAAAUCAACCGAGAUUCCCCCAGUAGCGGCGAGCGAACGGGGAGGAGCCCAGAGCCUGAAUCAGCAUGUGUGUUAGUGGAAGCGUCUGGAAAGGCGCGCGAUACAGGGUGACAGCCCCGUACACAAAAGCGCAUGUGCUGUGAGCUCGAUGAGUAGGGCGGGACACGUGGUAUCCUGUCUGAAUAUGGGGGGACCAUCCUCCAAGGCUAAAUACUCCUGACUGACCGAUAGUGAACCAGUACCGUGAGGGAAAGGCGAAAAGAACCCCGGCGAGGGGAGUGAAAAAGAACCUGAAACCGUGUACGUACAAGCAGUGGGAGCACCCUUUGGGUGUGACUGCGUACCUUUUGUAUAAUGGGUCAGCGACUUAUAUUCUGUAGCAAGGUUAA